CCAGCCGGAGCGCCGAGCCGAGCCGAGCCGACCGGACCCGACCGGACCCGACCCGCUGCCUGUCGGGCGCUGUUCUGCUCACGGCUACACGGCGCUGCGGCCGGCCGGGCCCGGGGCACACCGGGAGCCCACCGGGAGCCCUCGCCGGCUCAGAUGGGCUGCACUCAGGUGCAGGGUGUUCAUUUUCCGAAAAUCGGGCUGUUGUUUUUUUGUAACAGCAAAGGUGAAGCGCUGACGGGCUCCGAGCGCUACAGGCGUAGCCAUAGUAACAGCGAUAGAGUUGAUCAAAAUGAUACUAAUUCACUACAGAGUGUGAUGAACUGUGUCAUGUCGGCACACUUUCUUUGCCCCCUUCUUCUUCUGGCCCCCUGGCGUGUUAUUUUCUAUCUCCUUGGCCGCCUGGGUGAAGUUGUAAAGAGUGAAUAUUUUAAAAAGGCUGCCGCACAGUAGGUGCUGUGUAAGGCUUUGGCUGCAGUCCAGGAACAAACCACUUUUCUUUUUUUUUUAGGAAAAAAAAAGUUGUUUCUUCUCUAAACGCCUGUCGUUACGAAGCGAGUAAAAAAAAAAGGAAUUCUUGUGGAAUUCGAGUUGUCCCUUUUCCAAACUACACCUUUAAUUCAGGCGCUGGGAGAGUGAGUGUUGGCGGUCAGCGCGGACGUGAUUGUGUCGUUCAAGAGGCUGUUUUUCGUCGGUUCUUUCAGUUUUGCUGCCGUUUUGAGUGUCUAAAACUUUUUCUUUCCCGUUGGCUGACGAAUUGGUGUGGUGUCGUACUUCAUUUUUAUAUCGUUUAGUCAAAAGCUGACCCGAUCGUUAUUUAAAUGCAUAUCAGGUUAUGUGCCCACCUAUUCCUGCUUUUAAAGCCUCAGUUAAGCUUUUAAAACGCUGAACACACGAGUUGGAAGCGGAGUACGUGCCGGGACCCAGGAGUAGGGAUUAAAUUCUUCCUGUUGCCAGCCAGAUUAGGGCCCGGUGUAAUGGCCCGUCCGGCUCGGGGUGAUAAUUAAUUAUAAUAAGGGCUCACGCUAAAAUAGAGGCCGUACCUGAAAAUGACGUCUGAUCUGGCCUUUAUUCACUGAAAAUUUAACAACUGUUGAGAUCUGCAACUUUUUUUUCCCCCCCGAAAGUUUUUUUUUUUCCUGCUGAGCCCGAUCUGCUGGCCCAGCUGGGUUCUUCUUAAAGCAACAGUAUCCCUGCCGGCGAAGGGCUGCGGGCUGCCCCGCUGGGGUUCGAGCUCGGCGCGCCCGCAGGGCAGUGGGCCGGAGCCGAGGGAGGCCAGGAGCGUUCGGCAGUGGGACUGAACGCCUGACAACCCCCCCCGUUAGCAUCCGAAAGGCGAUCGAGAGGGGCUGACACGGGAUCGGGAGCAAAGAUAAUCCGAGGUGGUUCGGAAGGAGGCAGCCGAGUUCGAGCCGGGCGCAGGACGGGAGUCUGGGACGGUAUUGCGUCUUCAUCCUGCGGGCUUUGACAUGGUGGUGCUGCAGCAGUCCUGCUCUGCCUGUGCUGCCGAAAUCGUUGCCUCAGGGGGUCCCCGCAGACAGAGAGACAGAGCGUCUGUCCACGAGAGGCACUGCCAGCAAUGCUCAGCAGCGCCUUGAACAAAAGCUGAGGGGGCGAGCACAGCCCCCCUCCCCUCCCCCCUGAGCUUUUGGGCGCGGGGCAGUACACACUCUGAGUGACCUCAGGUGGCGCCUUCUUCCUUCCAUGUUGAGACGGACACCUAGAUAAAGAGCGUUGUUGCUCCCCGGGCACACCCACAGUGGAGGUUCUCCACACGGGGUUGACUGGAAACCUGCUGGCCUGAUUUCCAGAGCUCCCGGUGCCUUCGGCUGGUACUGUCCCUGCGAGGAGCCCCACAUGCCUACGCAGUGAUCUGACUGCUCCUGUGGGCCUUCCUCCUGGGUUUGUACCGGCACCUGCCUUCUGAUCUGUGGCUCCCAACAGUCUGGGCCCAUUGUACAAAGCUCCUAAUCUGCCAAUCGACCUUUUGUGCAGAUAAAGAUUUAAAAUUGUA
This is a non-coding RNA of Lepisosteus oculatus (spotted gar), 2011 nucleotides long. Lineage: Eukaryota; Metazoa; Chordata; Actinopteri; Semionotiformes; Lepisosteidae. The record is from RefSeq and is a predicted model, not a curated record.